UGGGGAAUUUUGGACAAUGGGCGAAAGCCUGAUCCAGCAAUACCGCGUGAGUGAUGAAGGCCUUAGGGUUGUAAAGCUCUUUCAGUUGGAAAGAUAAUGACGGUACUAACAGAAGAAGCCCCGGCUAACUACGUGCCAGCAGCCGCGGUAAGACGUAGGGGGCUAGCGUUGUUCGGAAUUACUGGGCGUAAAGAGCGCGUAGGCGGUCUAUUAAGUUGGAAGUGAAAGCCCGAGGCUCAACCUCGGAACUGCUUUCAAAACUGGUAGACUAGAGUUCGGUAGGGGGUGAUGGAAUUCCUAGUGUAGAGGUGAAAUUCUUAGAUAUUAGGAGGAACACCGGUGGCGAAGGCGAUCACCUGGCCCGAUACUGACGCUGAGGCGCGAAAGCGUGGGGAGCAAACAGG
This 404-nucleotide ribosomal RNA is filed under the name uncultured bacterium. Its description in RNAcentral is "bacterial SSU rRNA". It matches the Rfam family "Bacterial small subunit ribosomal RNA", at positions 355 to 776 of the family's 1533-position model. The record is from RNAcentral.